Molecule: transfer RNA, 69 nt
Filed under: Ictidomys tridecemlineatus (thirteen-lined ground squirrel)
Lineage: Eukaryota; Metazoa; Chordata; Mammalia; Rodentia; Sciuridae
Description: Spermophilus tridecemlineatus (thirteen-lined ground squirrel) tRNA
Rfam family: tRNA
About the family: Transfer RNA (tRNA) molecules are approximately 80 nucleotides in length. Their secondary structure includes four short double-helical elements and three loops (D, anti-codon, and T loops).
Source: Rfam by way of RNAcentral
GGGGAUGUGGCUCAAUGGUAGAGCACUUGCCUAGCAUGCAUGAGACACUGGGUUUGAUCCCCAACACCA